GUGUGUGUGUGUGUGUGUGUGUGUAAGGAGGGCUGCAGCCUCAGCAGCGCCUCCUGCUGGGUGACUAGAACGGGCGCCGCCACGACACCGUAAGGUUCACUCGCACAAUGACAGGAAGACGAUCAUUUGCCUCCUCCCUCCUAUGUUUACGUUAAGAGGCAGCGUGGCGCGGCGGCCACCACCCUUACACGCACGCACGCACCUCGCGCGUUCAAGACUCUCUUGGUCUGCCGGUACAACGAGACGGCCAGGUGCUGCCGCGGCUCCUAUUGUUGUUGUUAGUGGUGGUGCUGCUGCCUCCGCCACCUCCACCGCCGCCGCCGCCGCCGCCGCCGCCGCCGCCGCCACCGCCACCGCCGCCGCCGUGUGCACACCGCCACUCCACACAUGCACUGCAGCGCCGCCCGCCUUGCAUGCAGCGCACCGGCCCGCGCUCAAGGCCAGCCCCGUCGGCGCGCCAUGUCCCUCCCGAGACUAGGCCCUCCAGCAGCUGCUGCAGGAGCAGCAACAACAGCAGUGUCGUCGCAGAUAGUAGUGGCUGCCAGGGUCGCUCUUGCCCUGCCGGCAGCCAGUGCGCCGCCACCAGAUACUAAGGACCCUGCCGACAACCUGACGGCGAUGAAGUCCUGCGGGCCGUGACACAGGGUCGCCACCUCUGUCUGCACUUCCUCGCACCCCACACUCCCCCGCAGCCAAUCACAAGCCUUGCAGAGAGUCCAAGCAAGAUCUUACUGGCAAACUGUGUGGUCCCCGGAGUACGGUGCGGGGAUGCUCUCCUGGCCGACCCACACACAACACUCGUCUGGAUGCUGACAGUGAUGCAACUAGUCACUACACACACCAACAUACGAACACACCAACUUACAUACAUAUGCACGCACUAAAAUCGCACAAAACACAUGCACACCUCAAUCUGUUACUUAAAGCACGGUCAUUUAUAUGUGUGUUUCAGUGAGAAAACGUGGAACUUACGUAUGUAUGCGUAUGUUUUUUUAUUUUAUUUUAAUUUUUUUUUACUGUCGUCUCUGUCUGAAUAACAACGUUUUUUAUAUCUCACCUGUAUUAAGUUUUCUAGCUGUGACUCGAACGUUAUAGUGCUCGUUCUGUGGCAUCCCAUGCUCGUCCAUAUUGCAUGGGAAGAGUCAAUGUUUAUGGUACGUCGGCAGCAUGCAAAUCCAGCCCAGCGAUCCGGGUCCCCCGUCCCACAGUGUGGUUCAAGUGUUACGUCAACAAGUACACGUUGAACCUAGUGAUAACAUAAUGUAUUUCUUAAGGAAGAAUGUUUAAGAAGACCAUCUAUAAAGUGGGAAGAUAGAGUGUAAGAGUAUGUGUGAGAGAAAUGGUAGACUGCAGGAAGAAAGGAGUCUAGCUCAAACAAACUAAGCUAAUAGCUCUAUAAGCGUUUAUUAAACCAGUGCAAUCGACACUAUCGGCGCAUUCCAGCCUGAAAAUGUUCCUUGAGAAAAAAAACCACUGUGUUAUACUUUCUGAGUCCCACAGCUGCGGCAUUAGAAGAAAUGGACAAUUAUUUAACGAGACUAGCGAGGACUGGCAAGUGAAUCUCAAAAUAUGGCAUUGAAAUCCCAUAGACUUCUCACCACUUCACCAUGGCCCACAUGCAGAUGCUCUCACCGCAGGAGCACCGCACAGCGACCGUCAAAACUAAAGCAAAUUAACUCUACGGGCGUCACAACACUACAGUCCGUUUUAUGCCUGUCUCAUAUUCUUGUCUCGCACUAAUAAUGUUCGUUCACGCCUAUCACCUUUUUAACUUACCUCGUUUAAAAAUUAUCAAGUGACCUUCAGGCAA
Molecule: long non-coding RNA, 1810 nt
Organism: Portunus trituberculatus (swimming crab)
Lineage: Eukaryota; Metazoa; Arthropoda; Malacostraca; Decapoda; Portunidae
Exons: 3
Source: RefSeq, a predicted model, not a curated record